Spinacia oleracea (spinach) is the source of this 2610-nucleotide long non-coding RNA. RefSeq lists it as uncharacterized. The transcript is spliced from 9 exons. NCBI's taxonomy places the organism in Eukaryota, Viridiplantae, Streptophyta, Magnoliopsida, Caryophyllales, Amaranthaceae. The record is from RefSeq and is a predicted model, not a curated record.
UCUCUUGCAGUCUUGCCUCUCUCUCACUGAUAUUCAUCUCUUUUCUCUCUCCUCAUUUUCUCUGCACACACACACUCAGGCUCUCAGCCAUUCGACCUACUCAUUUUCUAGGGUUCUAAACUUCCAUUUCUUUUUUUCAUAAUUCACUCCAUGAACUACCAAACCAUUCUCACUCCUAACUAUCAAUUUCAAAUCGAAACUCUACAUUCUUAAUUACAAACUGCAAUGAACGAUUUUUUCAAAAUUAGGGUUUUGAACUUUCGAUUCUUCAGAAAAGAUCUGAUUUGCCCCCUUUGCUUCUUCCCACUCUCUCGAACCCGAAUCCAACACCAGAGAUGAAGAUUGUUGCCGCUUGCUUGUUGUCUUCUUUGGGCGGUAAAGCUUGCCCUACUCUUGAUGAUAUCAAGAAAAAUCUUAGAUCAGUUAAUGCAGGGGCUUCUUGGUUUCAGCUAGGCCAGUUAAUGCAGGGGCUUCUUGGUUUCAGCUAGGCGCAAAAGUAGUGGGCUCACAAAUAAUGUAAACCAGUCAAUAUGAAAACCAUACGUGAAUUUUCAAUGAUUGAAGAUCUACAUUCAUACCUUGACAGUUUGAUUAGCUUUACCACCAAGUCUGAAUUUUGAUAUGAAGGCGUUCUCUUCAACAUCAACAUUGUUGAAGCUAGCACCGGUCUUCACAAUGGGUUCUUUUGACAGGGUGUCAAUCGGAGCUUGAACCAGUCCAAUUUCCAAAGGCCAAUGUCCAUUACUAAAUUCUUUGAUCCGCUAUGUCACCUUCUGCGCGUGCCGCAACCCCGUGUUCUGGCAUCUGCCGCAUCCCCGUGUUCUGGCAUCUGCCGCAUCCCCGCCACACUUCUCUCCCUGCCUAACUCCCGGGGAUAGCCCAAUACAAUUUGUAAACCUUACGGUGUUGGAUUACCAAUGUUGCUGCAUCUACAGCUUGGCAAUUUCCCACAUUUCUUUGUUUCUCUCUCCUCCUGCUUCAGAGAGUUUCAUGGUCAUGGAGGUGUAUGUGUCAGCCGCCUUUUUUACCUCAUGAUCACAUCACGGGCUAGGCCGCUGCAGGGAAAGAUUAAAGGUCAAGGCUUGAGUUACAAAGAGAUUCAAUUGAGAGGAUUUUUUGCUUUCAGAAAAAAGAAGGGAAGUUAGCUUUCAUGCGCCAAAGAAAAGAAUUGCAAACGAUGAAGACAAGUGCUUGGAGCCCAAAAAUUCACACCGCAGGCUAAAGCCCACAUGUAGUUCAGUCUGGCAAUGACUGAAAGCUGGUGAAGAACGGAUUUUAGGCUUAUUUCCUUGUUUGAAAGAGACAAAUGGCGUGUUGUUAACUUUAUCAAAAAUGGCUCCAAGUCCUUCCACACCAUCUUCAAGAGCUGCAUGCCUGCAUCUAGAAUGCUUAAUUGUAUCUUCUUUCAGGUGCCUCUCUCUUGAAAAUAUGGAAGAAGCUAAUGAUGGCACUGAGUUGCUGCAGCAACCAAAUGAUGGGUAGGAGAUAUCAUGUCACUGAACAAGUCGUAGUGGUUAGCGUCAACACUCAAGCGAAGGGGAACAAACAAUUUGCAACUAAAUUAAAGGUGUUCUUUAAUGGUGGCCGGGAAGCCGUGAAAGGAGGUUGAAGCUACAAUCCUUAAUAAAAUCAAGGCAAGCAUAAACCGUCUAAGCUAUUGUAUAAUACACUGAUUUAGAUGAUGUAUCCCCAUACUUGAUAAACUUUGAAACUCUAUUCUGGAAAUACAGUUGAUAAUUGAACCAUGAAAUCUUAGUGUAUGUGUGUGUUUGAAUGAGUAUUUCCAAGGCUCACCAAACCAUCUCUUCCAAGAUUAUGAUUAGUUGGUUUGGGUUAUUAGUUUGUAUUGCAAGUUCUAAUUUAAUUAGAUUAAAAUUUACAGUAAACCUCCAACGAUAUAGAAUUGUGGAAAUUAAGGUUGUGUUUUGGUAGAGUCGUAGAGGUAAAUGAUAAUGGAAUUAUCGAGAUUGAUAUUUAAAUUCUAAGCAAAAUUAGAUCUAUAUUGAUGAGGCAUGUCAUUUUAGCUUGCCUUUGGUAAUCGUUGUCUCUUGGUAUCAAUAUUAUUGAUGUAUUGGCAGUUAAAUGAUCUUUUCUUUGAGUUAAAACUUGGACCAUAUUGUCUUGGAAAAUCGCAAUGUUCUCAAUGUUUUAUUGGGUGUUGUCCUCUCAAAGGAUGUUGAUUAUGUAUUUUGAUGCAGAAAGGGUGCAAUAGAGGUUGGUCUUCCACAAGCUUGGUAAAUGUAUCUGAAGAUAUGACACAUCGAGGUCGAAAUGAAUGACAACAGGAUCAAAUGCAUCAUCACAGGCGAAAGCGAAAGCGAAAGCGAAGGAGAAAUCAACAGCAGGAAUAUCAUUAUCCAAACCUACAGCAUGCUAAAGGAUUUCCAUUGUGUCUAUCUGAACCUACAUCAUGCUAAAGGAAUAUGGAACGUAAGUAGUGUGUUUUCCAUGAUUAGGUGACUAAAACUGUAGCUUAUUGCGUUAAUGACUAUAUUUCUUAGAACUUAGUUAUUAUUUAUAUACCUCUUAAUUUUGAAUAAUAUUACUGUAACUUUAUCAUUUCGAAUCCUCGUGAGUUAGAAUUAAGUGUUGAACAAGAUAGUAUAUGCA